Molecule: long non-coding RNA, 560 nt
Filed under: Homo sapiens (human)
Lineage: Eukaryota; Metazoa; Chordata; Mammalia; Primates; Hominidae
Description: non-protein coding lnc-MLX-2:2
Source: RNAcentral
AUUUCAGGUCGGAACUUGCGCAUUCGGGCCGGACCUCAAGCCAUGGGCCUCUGCGAAGGCGCCGGCGUGCCCACGGCUAAGAAACUUCCUCUUUCUGCUCCCGGGAACGAAGGCUGUAGCAGAGAAGGCCUUCAAGUUUCGAGACCCAGUUCCAGCCGCAGCUGAGCACUGGUGACCUUGAAUUAAGUCUAAUGUUGGGAUUGGAAGACGCUUCAGACAUCCGCUGCCGCCCUGGGCAAGCGACCAGCUCAAGGUUACCCCACAGGGACGUGCUCUGGUCCCACGGUCCAGUGCUCUUUUGUCGGUUAGUUUUGUCAUUUGUAAAAUAGGAACAGUAGAUAGUGGUAGGAAAGUGGUUGUGAAAACUUAAUAGAAAGCUAAGCGCCUUGGUCGGGCGCAGUGGCAUGUCACCCCUGCAAUUCUAUCACUUUGGGAGGCUGAGGCGGGCGGAUCGUUUGAGCCCAGGAAUUCGAAACCAGUCUGGGCAAUAUGAAACCCCAUCUCUGCAAAUAAAGUACAAAAAAUUAAGAGUGGUGGCGCGCUUCUGUGGUCCCAGCUAC